Molecule: ribosomal RNA, 406 nt
Filed under: uncultured bacterium
Lineage: Bacteria
Description: partial 16S ribosomal RNA
Rfam family: Bacterial small subunit ribosomal RNA
Source: RNAcentral
AUUGAACGCUGGCGGCAUGCCUAACACAUGCAAGUCGAACGAGUGGCGGACGGGUGAGUAAUGUCUGGGAAACUGCCUGAUGGAUGGGGAUAACUACUGGAAACGGUAGAUAAUACCGCAUACCAUCGGAUGUGGCCAGGUGGGAGUAGCUAGUAGGGGGGGUAAAGGCUCACCUAGGCGACGAUGCCUAGCCGGUCUGAGAGGAUGACCGGCCACACUGGCACUGAGACACGGUCCAGACUCCUACGGGAGGCAGCAGUGGGGAAUAUUGCACAAUGGUCGAAAGCCUGACGGAGCCAUGCCGCGUGUAUGAAGAAGGUUUUCGGGUUGGAAAGUUCUUUUAUUGGGGAGGCGGUACCUGCAGAAGAAGCACCGGCUAACUACGUGCCAGCAGCCGCGGUAAUAC